This 1962-nucleotide long non-coding RNA is filed under the name Gossypium barbadense (sea-island cotton). Its description in RNAcentral is "long non-coding RNA (GBAR_LNC017866)". Lineage: Eukaryota; Viridiplantae; Streptophyta; Magnoliopsida; Malvales; Malvaceae. The record is from RNAcentral.
CCUGCAAAAUUUCAAACAUAACCAAACCAAUUCCAGAAUUUCAACCAAAGCAUUUAUAUACUUAAUCCUACUUGACAUAUUGACAUAACAACUUGAUUAAUAAAAAUCCUAUUAUCAUAUCUAAUUAACACAUAAAACUAAUCAAGCCAUUUCAAUUUGAUACCAAUGCUAUAAAGAACUUCUACCAUUUUACUAAUAUAAUCAUCAGAACACAUAAUAUCUUACUUUACAACAAAACUAUAUAACAUACCAAAAUAACUAUUAUAAUUCCUAUGUACAUGCCACUUUCUCUUUAAGGAAGAAAACAUCACCAAAAUUUUUAUGUCGGAGUCGGGAUUGUCCUGGAUGCUGAACCGAGACUCUAACCCUUUUUUAACCUGCGCACGGAAACAACCGUACGCUGAGUAUUUUAUACUCAGUGGUAUUACCAUAAUUCAAAUUAUAAUAGCAAUAAAGAAUUAUAAUUACCAAGCAAUGUAAUUAUUCGAUUUCUUAAAUAUCAAUUAAUUUAUAAAUUUUCAUUAAUUAACAAUAACAAUACAAUUUUAGCUAUUCUUCAAUUUCAAUCACAUAUCACAUGUAAUAAUUUCAAUCACUACUUAAAUAUUGAAGUCAUGCCUUUCAUUUUCAAUCUCAUCUUCAAUCCAUAAUUUUUAAAUUUUCUCAUUUCAAUUAUUCACCCUAUUAACAAUUUAGACUUUGACGGAUACACGGAUUCCAACCCAAACACACCAAUACGGCACAUUGUGCCUAACGGUACGUAGUACCUGAUCAGUAUACGACACAUAAGUGCCUGAAACGACACACGAGGUGCCUGAUACGACACAUAAAGUGCCUGAGAUACGACACAUAAAGUGCCUGAUCGGCAAAGCCGAUAAAUCCCGUACUCAUCCAAAUCCUAUGGCAUGCCAACUAUAUCCGACUUAGCCCGACUAGUUAAUAGGGUAUUUAAAUCACAUAUUACCUCAAUUCAAUCACAAUUUCUCACAUUUUCAAUUCAAUCACUUUUCCACCUUUCAAUCGAUAAUUAAUCCACAAAUUCACACAUUUUCACAACUCAAUACAUUUCCAUUCAAUUUAAUAUCAGUCACAAUUCGAUUCAAAUUCAGUUUCCGCUUUCAAUCAACAAACAAUUCAAAUAUUAAUUCAUAUCAAUUAUUUAAUUUAAUUCACACUAAUAAUAAUAAUAAUAAUAAUAAUAAUAAUACUUACCUCACAUUCCAUUUACCAAUCUCAUAAAUUAAAAUUUAACAUUUAAUAAUAAAUAACUUGAAUUAUAGUAAUACAAACCCGAAUUGGCUCAUUAUUCCUCAAUAACCUUCUCCUUUCCUUUGUGUGCCGAUGUCUCGAGUUCCUUGUUAGCUACGAAAAUAAUAAUAAUUUACACCAUCAUUUACAACAUUAAUUUAUAAUAAUAAUAGAAUUUCUAUCUAAUUUAUACUUUAAUUCUAAUUUAAUCCUAACUAAAUUUAUUUACUUUUCCAAUUUAAUUCACACUCUAUUUCUAUUCAAAUUUCAUCCAAACUAAAUUUUAUCUACUAAUUUUUUCAGCAUUUUUCACUAAUUUCGAAUUUCCCUCAAUUUAAUCCCUAAAAUUCAAAACUUAUAGUUUAGUUCACAAUUUAAUCCUUUUAUCAACUCUAACUAGAACUCUAUCAAAUAAAUCAUCAAUUCCAUCAUUUAUUCAACAUAAACCCUACUAAAAAAAAUCUAUUAACUUUCAAAUUUUCAACUUAAAUACAAAAGAGUAUUUCACUCUAGGGUUCCAAAAAAAAAACAUCAAAAUGAAGAGAAAAGGACUAAAUUUAGCUUACCAAUUAACUUGAAGCUUAAAAAUCUCAUUUUCCCCUUUUGUUUUCUUUCCUUUUUUUCUUCCCCUGUUUUUCGUCUCUUUCUCUGUUUCUUUUCUAGCUAUUCUGUUUCUGUUCUUCUUUGUUUCUUUCUUUUACUUUAUUCCUAGUU